Molecule: ribosomal RNA, 1173 nt
Filed under: uncultured bacterium
Lineage: Bacteria
Description: bacterial SSU rRNA
Rfam family: Bacterial small subunit ribosomal RNA (bases 140-1170)
Source: RNAcentral
GACGCCCCACCAGGCACGAUCGUAGGGUUCGAGACGUCUCACUGAUCGGACGGACCAAUCUACGAAGGCAGCAUAGAUUGUCAAUGGCGGAAGCUGACAGCCAGUAGCUGCAGAUGACUGCGUAUGGAUGUACUGCUUUAUACGGGAUAGUCAGGUCGUGACUGUUGCAGUACGUAUGAUAGACGCUAUCGUGCAGCAGCGCGUAUACGAGUCAGCGUAUCGGAUUAUGGGUUUAAAGGGAGCGUAGGCAGAGAUUAAGUGUGUGUGAAAUGUAGAUGCUCAACAUCUGCACUGCAGCGCAUACUGGUUUCCUUGAGUACACGCAACGUUGGCGGAAUUUCGUCGUGUAGCGGUGAAAUGCUUAGAUAUGACGAAGAACUCCGAUUGCGAAGGCAGCUGACGGGAGUGCAACUGACGCUGAAGCUCGAAAGUGCGGGUAUCGAACAGGAUUAGAUACCCUGGUAGUCCGCACGGUAAACGAUGGAUGCCCGCUAUUCGCUCGAAUGAGUGAGUGGCCAAGCGAAAGCAUUAAGCAUCCCACCUGGGGAGUACGCCGGCAACGGUGAAACUCAAAGGAAUUGACGGGGGCCCGCACAAGCGGAGGAACAUGUGGUUUAAUUCGAUGAUACGCGAGGAACCUUACCCGGGCUUGAAUUGCAGAUGAACGAUCCAGAGAUGGUGAGGCCCUUCGGGGCAUCUGUGAAGGUGCUGCAUGGUUGUCGUCAGCUCGUGCCGUGAGGUGUCGGCUUAAGUGCCAUAACGAGCGCAACCCCUGUUCUUAGUUGCCAUCAGGUAAUGCUGGGCACUCUGGGAAUACUGCCACCGUAAGGUGUGAGGAAGGUGGGGAUGACGUCAAAUCAGCACGGCCCUUACGUCCGGGGCUACACACGUGUUACAAUGGCCGGUACAGAGAGUUGGUCGUGCGCAAGUACGGUCUAAUCCAUAAAACCGGUCUCAGUUCGGACUGGGGUCUGCAACCCGACCCCACGAAGCUGGAUUCGCUAGUAAUCGCGCAUCAGCCAUGGCGCGGUGAAUACGUUCCCGGGCCUUGUACACACCGCCCGUCAAGCCAUGAAAGCCGAGGGUGCCUGAAGUCCGUGACCGCAAGGAUCGGCCUAGGGCAAAAUCGGUAAUUGGGGCUAAGUCGUAACAAGGUAAAUCACUGCCGUCGUA